GGGACUUGUAUAAAAAGUUGCAAAAGUAAUAAUGUUGUCAUUUAGCUCCAACAUGAAACUUAUUCUCAUAUGUAUUGCUUUGUUGGUGAUCGGGAAAGCUGAAGAAACGGAACCUUCAGGGAACUUAGAGACACUUGGUGAUGGCCCUUUAAGUAAAGCUUUCGGUCUACAACGGCUGCAAAGGGAACGGAAUCCAACGGAUGAAGAAUGACAAGGCUCCAGUUGAUCAUAGAGUAACUUCUGUUGCACAUAUGUUUAUU
This is a long non-coding RNA of Mercenaria mercenaria, 260 nucleotides long. RefSeq lists it as uncharacterized. The transcript has 3 exons. The record is from RefSeq and is a predicted model, not a curated record. Lineage: Eukaryota; Metazoa; Mollusca; Bivalvia; Venerida; Veneridae.